UACAGAGGGUGCGAGCGUUGUUCGGAAUUAUUGGGCGUAAAGGGCGCGUAGGCGGUGCGGUAAGUCACCUGUGAAAUCUCCUGGCUCAACUGGGAGUCUGCAGGCGAAACUGCCGUGCUGGAGUGUGGGAGAGGUGAGUGGAAUUCCCGGUGUAGCGGUGAAAUGCGUAGAUAUCGGAAGGAACGCCGGUGGCGAAAGCGGUCCGCUGGGUCCCUACUGACGCUGAGGCGCGAAAGCCAGGGGAGCAAACGGG
This 253-nucleotide ribosomal RNA is filed under the name uncultured bacterium. RNAcentral's name for it is "partial 16S ribosomal RNA". It matches the Rfam family "Bacterial small subunit ribosomal RNA", at positions 524 to 776 of the family's 1533-position model. The record is from RNAcentral.